Molecule: long non-coding RNA, 1613 nt
Organism: Dermacentor albipictus
Lineage: Eukaryota; Metazoa; Arthropoda; Arachnida; Ixodida; Ixodidae
Source: RefSeq, a predicted model, not a curated record
CGCAUUCCACGAAUGUUCUUGUGGCGCAAACCGCAAAAAAACCCCCCGCUAUUGCACGCCAACGGACUGAGCUCGUUCCCAGGAACAAGGGAACACCGAAUGCCAGGUGGGAUUCCCAUUUUUCAAGCCUCUACGACAAUAUUUUGGCCCGACCUCAUGGCGGGGGAGCCGCGAAGCCACGCGCCCGAGCCGGGUUCCUCGAGAAUUGCCGAUCAUUUUCUCAACGAUGGAAGUCCCCGUAGAGAGGCGCAGCAUAUCCUAGGAAGAAAUGGAUACAAGCAACGGAAGGAAGGAGGUCAGACACAGAAGAUCAGACCGGCGAACCUCCCAACGUCGCGAGAGCACCUUGUCGCCAACGCGGCUCGACAAGCGCAACAAUAACCCAUGGAAAGGCAAGCUAGAGCGCACACGCCAGGCAAGCAGAAUGCCACAUUUGCCAAGAGGGGAUUACAAGAUUGUGAUCAGACCACGUGGAGGACUCAAAAUAUCCCAGCACGGUAUAGUUCACCUCACAGCUGCGGUACAAGAUGCGGCAGGCAUUCCUCGAGACGAAAGGUAGGAGGGCAUUGUCUGCCCCAACAAUUAUCAAAAUAUCCUUAUCGUCAGUACAUCGGAUUAAGAGCGUGCAAACAAAUAUCAGGAAGUAGCACGUAUCAAGAUUCAAGACACUUUUUACGAGACCAAUGCUUACGAGACAGCGCCUGACAUGACGGCCAAAGGAGUCAUCAGAGGACUUCCACUCGACGAGGGACCAAGAGACAUCACAGCAGCGGCGGUUACGAGUAAAAACCCAGCGGUGAUAGCAGCAGAGGCUCUCAGUAAUACCACCACAGUGAUCGUGCUCUUUGAAGAACGCAAAGUGCCCACGUACGUCCGAUACAGGGCAGCGCUACUCCCUUGCUCCCUGUACAGCAAAGAAGUGGAUUUCUGUCACCAAUGCAACAUACUUGGACACAGAGGAGAUGUAUAUCCCAACCCUGACAACAAGAUUUGUGCGGGAUGUGGAACACCAAACCCAGAUAAACAGCACAGGUGCCAACCUAAAUGUCAGUCAUGCAGCGAGGACUAUCCGACCGCAGACAAGACGUGCAAAGCCAAAUUCAAAAAGCCCUUCAUGGUUAAACAGAUACAAAGGCACAGACUGCAACGAGAACGACAAGAAGAACAUGAAGACGCUAUCUCAAGAGAAGACAGGGCAGAGCCUCGCGGAACGCCUGGCCUCCCAAACGCCAGGGAACGACGCUCCGGAUCGAGAACAAGGUCUCUAUCCACCACCAGAUCCUUAUCCCGGUCCGGCUCCAGGACACCGGGGACACGAUCCAGAUCCAGGUCCAGAACUACGCCACCCUCUUCAGCAAACCAGACAAACACGUGGAGGUGUCCUCGAAUGGGGAAAGAACGCAAACCACUCCUCAUGCUUCAGAACAUGCCAGCCGAGUAACUGUCCCAAUGGAUGCACACCUGGAUGUACAUGUUUCCCAACAAAUAAGCUAGGAGGAAACGGAUUAAACGGCGUUUGUCUCAAUGCAAAUUACCCACUACCCGGCGAUCUGGUAGAGACUUAUAAGACGGGACUCAAAUAGUGACAUAGCUCAAAGCAUUAGCGUGCGUCG